Molecule: ribosomal RNA, 397 nt
Filed under: uncultured bacterium
Lineage: Bacteria
Description: partial 16S ribosomal RNA
Rfam family: Bacterial small subunit ribosomal RNA
Source: RNAcentral
AUACGUAGGGGGCGAGCGUUGUCCGGAAUGAUUGGGCGUAAAGGGCGCGUAGGCGGCCCGGUAAGUCUGGAGUGAAAGUCCUGCUUUUAAGGUGGGAAUUGCUUUGGAUACUGUCGGGCUUGAGUGCAGGAGAGGUAAGUGGAAUUCCCAGUGUAGCGGUGAAAUGCGUAGAGAUUGGGAGGAACACCAGUGGCGAAGGCGACUUACUGGACUGUAACUGACGCUGAGGCGCGAAAGUGUGGGGAGCAAACAGGAUUAGAUACCCUGGUAGUCCACACUGUAAACGAUGAAUGCUAGGUGUAGGGGGUAUCGACCCCUUCUGUGCCGCAGUUAACACAAUAAGCACUCCGCCUGGGGAGUACGGCCGCAAGGCUGAAACUCAAAGGAAUUGACGGGG